RNAcentral lists this long non-coding RNA (1101 nucleotides) under Marmota monax (woodchuck). The stretch from base 499 to 561 matches the Rfam family "tRNA". Lineage: Eukaryota; Metazoa; Chordata; Mammalia; Rodentia; Sciuridae. The record is from RNAcentral.
AAUGAAAUAGUCCAAAGUAAGGAACUGUACGAACUAACCGUGUAUAUAGAAAUGUUAAUUUCAGAUUUAUGCAAGUUGAAGAUUUGUAUUACAACUCGAGUAAGUUAAUUAUUUGUCAGCCUUAGUUUUCUUAUUUUUACAGGGAAGAUUAUACAAGUUGAGUAUUUCCAAUUCAAAAUCCAAAAUAUCCCCAAACCUGAAACUUCCUGAACUCCAACAUGAUGCCCCAAGUUGAAAGUUCCACACUUGACCUCAUGUGGUAGGUUGUAGUCAGAAUGCUUGACCUCAUGUAGUAGGUUGUAGUCAAAAUGCCGGCACACUAAAAAUAUAGUAUUAAAAUUACCUUCAUACUGUGUAGAAAGACCUGAUAAGAACUAGUUUUAGGAAGACUGAAUAACUACAGAGUGGUUUGGUGAAGGAAGCAGAGAUGGGUAAUGGAAAGACUGUUUUUGUUUCUCCAUUUGUUCAUUCAGUUUUUCAAAAAACGUUUGUUGGGUUGGAGAUGUAACUCAGUGGUAGAGUACUUACCUGGCAUGCAUGAGACUCUAGGUACCAUCUCCAACACUGAAAAAAUAUUUACUUUUGCAUACGGGGCGCCUGGCUUGUCUCACCCUAAUCAUGGCCCUAUGUGUGAAACAAUUGUGAUUGUAAACUUUCUUUUAUAAUUACUUUGUAUUUUUGUCAACCAAAUCUUACAUGUAAUUGUAAAAAACAGUAGUACUGUAAGGCUUUUAAAGGAAACAGUGGUCUCCUGAGCCUGUUUCAUCUCAUCUAACAUAGCCACAUUUUCUUUCCUAUUUCUAUCUGUGGAAGUAACCAUGUUCAUAGUUCCUUUAGCUUUUCUCCACUGAGAUUUAGCACCUUGUUUCUAAAUGUGAUGCUUUUAAUGGUAGUUCUUGGUUUAUUAUAUUUAAGCAUUAGUUCAUUUAGACUUCAUUGAGUUAAAUUUGAGUUAAAACUAUGGAGAAGCCAUACUUUUUUUGGGGGGGUGGUGGUUACUGGCUCUUUUUUAAAAAAUACAUAUUUUUUUGUAGAUGUUGAUGGACCUUUAUUUUAUUCAUUUAUUUAUAUGAGGUUGCUCAGAAUCAAACUCAGUGCCUC